GCAAGAUCAGGCCUAACACAUGAAGUCGAGCGGAAACGAUGGUAGCUCGCUACCAGGCGUCGAGCGGCGGACGGGUGAGUAAUACUUAGGAAUCUACCUAGUAGUGGGGGAUAGCAGCGGGGAAACUCGUAUUAAUAUAUCCGCCAUACGCACCUACGGGAGAAAGGGGGCAGUUUACUGCUUCCUCGCUAUUAGAUGAGCCUAAGUCGGAUUAGCUAGAUGGUGGGGUAAAGGCCUACCAUGGCGACGAUCUGUAGCUGGUCUGAGAGGAUGAUCAGCCACACCGGGACUGAGACACGGCCCGGACUCCUACGGGAGGCAGCAGUGGGGAAUAUUGGACAAUGGGGGAAACCCUGAUCCAGCCAUGCCGCGUGUGUGAAGAAGGCCUUUUGGUUGUAAAGCACUUUAAGCAGUGAAGAAGACUCUUCGGUUAAUACCCGGAGACGAUGACAUUAGCUGCAGAAUAAGCACCGGCUAACUCUGUGCCAGCAGCCGCGGUAAUACAGAGGGUGCAAGCGUUAAUCGGAAUUACUGGGCGUAAAGCGAGCGUAGGUGGCUUGAUAAGUCAGAUGUGAAAUCCCCGGGCUUAACCUGGGAACUGCAUCUUAAACUGUUAGGCUAGAGUAGGUGAGAGGGAAGUAGAAUUUCAGGUGUAGCGGUGAAAUGCGUAGAGAUCUGAAGGAAUACCGAUGGCGAAGGCAGCUUCCUGGCAUCAUACUGACACUGAGGCUCGAAAGCGUGGGUAGCAAACAGGAUUAGAUACCCUGGUAGUCCCACGCCGUAAACGAUGUCUACUAGUCGUUGGGUCCCCUUGAGGACUUAGUGACGCAGCUAACGCAAUAAGUAGACCGCCUGGGGAGUACGGCCGCAAGGUUAAACUCAAUUGAAUCGACGGGGGCCCGCACAAGCGGUGGAGCAUGUGGUUUAAUUCGAUGCACCGCGAAGAACCUUACCUGGUUCUGACAUAUCUUAGAAUCCUGCAGAAAUGCGGGAGUGCCUUCGGGAAUUAGAAUACAGGUGCCUGCAUGGCUGUCAUCAGCUCUUGUCCUGAGAAUGUUGGGUUAAGUCCCGCAACAAGGCGAAACCCUUGUCCUUAGUUACCAGCCGGGUAUAGCCCGGGACCUCUUAAGAUAUACUGGCAGUGUG
Molecule: ribosomal RNA, 1146 nt
Filed under: uncultured Psychrobacter sp.
Lineage: Bacteria; Pseudomonadati; Pseudomonadota; Gammaproteobacteria; Moraxellales; Moraxellaceae
Description: bacterial SSU rRNA
Rfam family: Bacterial small subunit ribosomal RNA
Source: RNAcentral